AAUUACGGUUAAAUUACUACUUUUAAAAUUGGUUUUCACUUUAUUUUUUACAUGAAAUUUAUUUUUGUAUGUGACUUUUAAGGGAUUCCUUCACUAGACCUUAGCUCAUAUAAGAAUGUGGGCAUACACCAUAAUUUUAGUCAUCACCAGAAAACACAAAUACAGCAAUUGUGCGUUGGCGAAUUGAUCUUCGUCCGACACCUUAUUAAGUUAGCUUACAGUGCUCCUACUCUUGCGUGCUUAAUAUACUGGAGGGAAAGCUUAUCCUCCUUCGUUUAUUAAUUUUUACUUGUUAUCAA
This is a non-coding RNA of Hydra vulgaris (swiftwater hydra), 299 nucleotides long. The record is from RefSeq and is a predicted model, not a curated record. NCBI's taxonomy places the organism in Eukaryota, Metazoa, Cnidaria, Hydrozoa, Anthoathecata, Hydridae.